ACGAAACGAAAAAAUACAAACAAUGUCGCUCCCCUCGAUCUCCCGGCCAGGCUCCCCUUGAUCCAAUCUCCCCACCGCUGCCGAGGUAUGAGAUCGCCGCCACCGAGCCAACGUACGGGGUCACUGCCGAGCCGAUGUACAUGAUCGCCUCCAUCGCGUUCCUUCCCUCGCCACGCCCCUCCUAAUUUAUUCCGGUAACCCAGCUAGGGUUCUCACCCGCCGCCGCUUCGCUGAUGCCACCCCGCCACCCGAUGCCCUCCAUGGACGCCACCACCGCGAUGGCGCAAGGACGAACAAAAGGGUGGUCGUCGAGGUUGGGCACCGCCGUGAGGAUGCUGGCGCCCGUGCGCGCGGUGAUGGCAUGGUGGCAGAAGAAGGUCGUCUUCCCGAGGAGCCGCGUGCUGGCGGGCGUCUCCAUCCGCGGCCUCGCCAGAAAGACAGGUAUGCCGCCGAGCCCUCGACGUACUCCCUACUCCCGUAUAGGUAUGGCCAAGCCUGUAUCGCUUAUCUUUCCCCAUACUGCCUUGGCAGAUCUUAGUGAGAUGGACUUCACUAGAAAUUCCUCUAUGAAUUUGGAACCUAUAAAGGAGAUUUAACUUUUAAGAAGCAUAGAAUGUUGUGCUAUUAUGCAUUGCCGUGAUUUGGUCUGGGUGAAUUAAUAUAUUGGGAUCUUUGUGGAUGGGGAUUAUCUUGCUUCUUCUUAUAUUGGAACAAUUGAGAGAAGCAAGGGUAGUAAUAUCAACACCUGAUCACUCUCUAGGCUGUGGCGAGAGUUUGUGUAUAUCUAUUUAGUGUCAACCUCAUGUGCGUGCUAGCCACGUUCUGCCACCGCGGGCACCCUAUUUUCCUUGGUAUGAGCCAUGGAAGCACUUGGGUGAUGUUCUGGUGAUAAAAAUGUUGUUUAAAAUGCUGAAGGUUCGUGAUUUCUUACCAAGUUAUAUGCGGUUCUAACCCAAAUGGCACGAUGAUGAUUCCUUCUCUUUGCUUUUCAGUGAUUAUACCGACCGAUAUAUCUAUCUAUUGGGAGGUUGUUUUGCUAUCAAUUGCGAUCCUAGGUUUAUGGUCAUUUCAUGCUUGGUAAAAAGUCUGAACUGUUUUAAUCAUUCAGGCAUUAUAAGUUCAGGGCAGGCUGCGACGAACGACGCAAGGAGUCAGUGUCGGAGGUACACAUUUAUGUUGAAGAACCAGACGAACAAAUCUCAUGAAAUGCUCAACACACGAAAGAUAUUUCAUCACACGGCGACUACAGUUUUUUGCUCUGUUGUUUGGUAAGUUUAUGCAACUCAGGAAACAAACUUAAGUAAUGAAACACAAUGCCCAAUAAUUCUGGUUCAAACUUUAGUAAUGUAAUUGAAUGCCUAACAAAUCUGUAGCUAGCUUAAUCAUUUUUUCCCACGCAUCGCGAGCGUACUGGACGGCGGGAACGAACGCGUCAAGGAGGACGCCAGCGAUGGUGGUUCCAGGGAAAUCAUGCCGCCGCUGGCCACGGGAGGAUGUCCGUCUGCGUUAACCUGGUCGAGAAGAAUCUUCAAUGACACCAUACAUACCCUUUGAGCUCCCCAAACUCUUGGCCAUAGCCUCUUCCGCUUUUCACAACAAGUUAGUUCUCUCUACACUAGCAUUAGUACUUUUUAGUAAUCACUAAUGUAGGAUUCUGAAUAAAUUUUAUAUGAGAUCUAGGCGUUAAUCGUGCAGGCUUUUGUCUAAAGUUCUUUCUUUUGCAAUUUGGACUGUAUAUUAAGUUUGAAUAUUACAGAAACAGUUGGCAUAUAAUUUUCCAGCAUGUUAUUUUAUGUAUAAGUUUUGUAUCUCCUUUGUAAAGAUUAAAUGGUGAAUAGAUUUUUUUCUCCGUUGUUUGGUAAGUUCAUGUAACUCGGGAAACAAACUUUAGUAAGGAAAUACAAUGCCUAAUAAUUCUGGUUCAAACUUUAGUAAUGUAAUUGAAUGCCUAAAAAAAUUGUAGAUAGCUUAAUAUUUCUUCUCACGCAUCGUGAGCACGCUGGACGACGCGAACGAACGUGUCAAGGAGGACGCCAACGAUGGUGGUUCCAGGGGUUAACACAGUCGCUAGCCAUGGGAGGAUGCGUGUGUGCAUUUACCUGGUUGCAUCUACUAGUCAAUCAAUUUUAUUUUAUUCUAAAGAUCAUGUGUGUCGGUUUUGAUUGUUGUUUUAUCUUCUCUUUUUUCCUAAAUUCAGCUUUCAAAACUGGGUUAUGCAUAGAUGAUGAUCACUGCUACAACUCAAAGUGAAGACUUUUCUAUCUAAACCUAAUUGAAGUAUUCUGAUGAUGGUGAAAAAGGCUCUAGCAAGUAUCUAAUGCAUAUACAUGAGUUUAUAUUAUUUAUCAUAUUCACAUACUAAUAUAUUCAUGAUUAUUUUGCAUUGUAGAGUGCUAGCACGCUACAUUAUGGAGCUAGCACGCUACAUUACGGAGAAAACGUUGAGAGAAUGCUUUGUUGAGAUGAUAGACAGGAAUAAUCAAUCCUUUUUCCACGGUUAGAUUUGUACUCCCUUCCCAGUUCUUCUUUGCAAAGGACCAAUCCUCUUAUAUUAUCCAUUCAUGUUGUCUUAACUAGAUGAUGCCCCGCGCGUUGUGGCGGGAACCUUGUUAAAAAAUGUAUGGAUAAAUGAUAGAAGACUAAAAUUAAUGCAAAAACAAAUAUAAAAAUUUCUUACAUGACUUAAUUCCGUGGGAAAAAUAAUGCAUGAGGUGGUAUGUUUUGCAUGAAGAGAUUAAUUGAAAAAGUAAUUUAUGAUUUCAUGCAUGACUUGAUGAUGUGGCAUUGUUGCAGGUCGGUGGCGGUGGGUCUGGAGAUGCGGAUGCCCCCGCAUAGCGCGGCGCCAAUGGCACUCGUGGGAUCCUUCAUCACCCAAGGUAAACCUGUGCUUGACUUCCUUUCUUAUGCUCCUCAUGUUUUGUUGGUUGUUACCUACCAUUAGAUUGGAUGUUUGUUCUCUGGCUGUACAUAGUCAAUUCUGGUGAGCUAUUUUGGACUAAUGAGGUUUGUGGGGUCAAUAAGUAUGGCACAAACUGUGUUGAUCUUCAACGCACGUAUGCUUUCCUAAAUUGGAUUGAUUUGCCGACGUCGAGUUAGUGUGCACCAGCGGGCGUAGCUUCGCCUAUGUCAACUUUCACUGUUCCUCCCCUAAGGUCGUGACCAAGUUAUUCUCCACCGUAAGCAUCCACCACCCCAUCAGCAAUCUCAUUGUAACUAUUUUUCUACACUUCGACAACAAUUAAUAGUAGCGGAUUGGGAUUUUGUUGAUUAUCCGCAUUAGCCGUGUGUGUUCUCUGGUUUGAAUGGAGAAUUUUGUGUUAGGCGAGUAGAGCUUUACCAACUUAAUAACAGAGGAUGGUGCUUGCACUUGUUGUGGGUGUUGAUGGUUCCCAUGUCUUGGUUCCUUGGAAUGGCGAUUCAAGAAACAUCAUCGUGUUGAUUGACCAUAGGGUGAUUGACCAAGCCAAGUGAAUUAAUUCUCACAGUUCAUCAGUAUUGCAAUUUUAUGGUGGGAGCGUCUCCCCAGAAAUCUCUACUCCUAAGGUAACCAGUUUUUUCUCCAUGAAUAUGAUUCUCCAACUUCCUGAUUCAUUAUUUGUAAAAAACACUAAUGAUAUUGUUGGGCCUCUGAACCAUUGUGUUGAUUGCCAUGUUUUGCUUGAAUAUCUCAGAAUGUCCGAAUUCUAGCAUUUGAAAAGUUGAACAACACAAUGUUACUGAAAAUAUGUUGGAUUGCGUGAAGAAUACGGAUAAAUAGUUUUGAAUUAUUUUGUAGCGAGACACAUGCACCUGGUGUUGUCUACCUUAUCCAACACCUAUCGAUAAUGUCAAUAAGAUACAAUAUUGUUAUGGAAAGUCCAUAACAAACUAAUUCCAACAUUAUGUGAUUUGCUGACACAUCUCAUGGUAUCGAUAUUAAUAAAGGUUUUCUGUUAUAAGUUUUACUGUGAGACUAGGCAUCUUUUGUUUUCAAAACAAUAGACUCAUGCAUAGUUAAUUUGACUUGAAUGAAGCAGGUAUUCUCAUUCCAUAUUUUUAUUUGCUUUCAUGCACAAAGGCUACUUGAUCUUGGUAAGCUUCAGGAGAUUGCUGUAAAAUCUGUACGAGUAUGUGAACGUGAGAAAUCAAGCUCUCCCAUAUGAACAUUCCUUGUACCGUUGGAUAUGACCCAGCAAGCAAUAUGAUUACCAUGCGAAUGAAGCGAAAGACAACAUUCCUGACGUUUGUGUUCAUCAAUAUCUCAAACGCAUAAGUAUGUCUUAGUUUGUAACUGAUAAUUAUCAUCGAUCUCUUUAUAUACAUUGUUGAUUACAUUGUAAAUGGACUGAAGUUCAAUUUUUAUAUACAUGUCAAAUUCUGGCAUUGAUCUCUUUAUAUACAUUAUUUAUUAUUUUGACGGGUACUACGGCGAGCUUCCACCUGCUUGAGCUAUAUGCAUUAUCUUUAUAUAUGUAAAAUCAGGAAAGGAAGAAGCCCGUGGCAACGCACGGACGUUCUACUAGUAUAAAAUUAAAGAGGAGUGUUGGGCGCCGGCGCGCCAGCGCGAGCUCGCGCCGGCCGUACAAUAGCCGUCGGACCGGGGGGGCCCUUGAACCGUCAGAUCUCGUCUUCGUCCUCAACCUCGAGCCACGAGCGCCUCGCCGACCAUCCUCGUCUAGCGCGCAGCGGCGCUCCCCUCGCCCCUCCCCUUUUCCCCCUGCCCCCUGGCGGUCGAAGGGUCCUUCUCCCGUCGCCCCCUCUCGCCGGACGUCCUCCCCGUCGGUCGUCGUCCUUGCAGAGCCAACAAACGUGAGCGCCUUAUCGGUCCUUCGUUGCAGCUUUUUUCAUCAACGGUUGUAGCAUUUUAUGUCAAUAGUUGCAACAUUCCGUCAUAGCAAUGACCGCUUGCAGCUUUUAUAUGUCUGGUUGCAGCUUUUUUCAUCAACGAUUGUAGCAUUUUAUGUCAACGACUGCAGCAUUCCGUCAUGGCAAUGACCGCUUGCAGCUUUUUAUAUGUAUGGUUACAGCUUUUUUAAUCAACGGUUGUAGCAUUUUAUGUCAACGGUUGCAGCAUUCCGUCAUGGCAAAUGACCGCUUGCACUAUCAUAUGCCUAGUUGAAGCUUUUUCAUUUUGGGUUUUGAAGCUUUUUCAAAUACCCGUUGCAGCAAUUUUGGGCGACGUUUGUAACAUUUGUAUACGCGCGCCCGACCACGGCGGCAGGCGACAAGGACGAUGGGCGAAGGCUGGAUCCGACGAUGCGGACGGUCGACGGUGGCGGGAACUGGCGAUCCGGGCGGGCCGACGGGGGCAGGGACCGGUACAACAACGACAACAACGCAGGGGCGCGCACAUGGUGAGCCUCUUCGACUAUGAGCUGCACCACGCACGAACCGUCAGAAUGAGAAAGAGAUCGCAGAAUAAAAUAGGAGAUCGACGACCCGCGUGCGUCGAGCCGAACGUUCGGCCGGGCGCAGACGAAGAACGUUUCUCAAAAUUAAAUCAUUAAUUUUAGGAGAGAGGAGUAUAUCAAUACUUGCUUGAGGAAGAGCGAAACUGAUGGGGCCCAAACUAGGCAACUGGUUCGGAUCCGAUUCCCCACUCCCACACCGCCCGAUUAGGAAACCACACUAGAACUAUUAUCUUGGCAAAUCGCAUCGGACGGUCCAUAUUCAUCCUUACCCUUAACCUCGGCUGGACAGCCACCCAUCCUUCCUCGUGAAACUAAAACUCUGCCUUUCCUCCAAAAAGUACUGAAGCCCUGCCUCCACACCCACUGGCACAGAGACCCCACCAAACAACGGGCCUGCAUGUCACCGACCGAAGCAAAGAAAAUUCCGUGGCGAACUUGAUAUUCCUGCCUUCCCUAAAAGAAAAAAACUAGAUAUUGCGGCCACGUUGGUGUCCGCCGAGCUCAGAGUGAAUGAAACAAAGAGAAGGAGAAAGCGAGAGGAGAGGCGGACGCGAGACGGGACUAGCGCCACUCCAUUCCAUUCCAUUCCACUUCCCUCCCUCGCUUGCCUUCCUUCCUUCCUAGCACAGCAUCCCCAGAUAGAUAGAUAGAAACCCCCGAUUCCGAUCGCCGGGAUGAGGUUCUGACCCCCGAUUCGGUCCGUCGAUUCUAAUUUCCCCUCGAUUUGGUGCGGGAUUAGCGGCCGGAAAUUAAUCGCCAUGACGGCGUCGUCGCCGAUGGUGCUGUCCCUCCUGCUCUUCGCGUCGCUCACGGCGCUGCUCUUCCUGGCUCCUCGCGCGUCGUCACCGCCGCUACCGCUGCCGCUGCCCGUGCUGGUUGGGGACGAGGAGGCGCCGCCCGCCGCUGGGAGUGCUGCUGGUGGUGCGGCCAGCAGCGGAGGAGGGGCGGGAGUUGAGGAGGGGCCGGAGGACCUCGCGCUCUUCCGGCGCGUGACGCUCGACGCCGGCGAGGGCGCGGCGAUGGCGUCCAAGGUGGCGUUCAUGUUUCUGACCAACUCCGACCUCACCUUCGCGCCGCUUUGGGAGUGCUUCUUCGCGGGGCACGGCGACCGCUUCAACGUGUACGUGCACGCAGACCCGGCGGUGCGCCUGCGGCUUCCCCCUACGCCUUCCUUCCGGGGCCGCUUCGUCGCGGCCAAGCCGACGCGGCGUGGGGACCCGAGCCUCAUCGCGGCAGCGCGGCGCUUGCUUGUCGCAGCGCUGCUCGACGACCCGGCCAACGCCUACUUCGCGCUGCUCUCGCAGCACUGCGUUCCGCUCCACUCCUUCCCGCGGCUCUACGAGGCGCUCUUCCCGCCCAGAGCCGCGCACCACCACCGCCUCCCGAGCUAUAUCGAGGUGCUCACCGGCGAGCCCCAGAUGCCCGUGCGCUACGUGGCGCGCGGUGAGGACGCCAUGCUCCCGGAGGUGCCCUUCGACCGGUUCCGCAUCGGGUCCCAGUUCUUCACGCUGGCCCGUCGCCACGCCGUGCUAGUGGUCCGCGAGCGCCGUCUCUGGCGAAAGUUCAGGGAGCCGUGCCUGCCGGAGUCGCAGGACUCUUGUUACCCGGAGGAGCACUAUUUCCCGACGCUACUCGACAUGGCCGACCCCGCCGGCUGCACCCGGUACACGCUCACGCGCGUCAACUGGACCGACAGCUUCGAAGGCCACCCGCACACGUAUUCCGCGCCAGAGGUGUCGCCGCGGCUCAUAACCGAGCUGCGCCUGUCCAACACCUCCACCUAUGAGCACAUGUUCGCGCGCAAGUUCGCUCCCGACUGCCUUGGCCCGCUCAUGGCCAUCGCCGACACUGUCAUCUUCAAAGAUUGAUCGAUGCGGUGCUCUGCACCAUAGCUGCACAUAGGAGGUACGUUCUGACGCCUGAUUUCUGAAAAGUUCCAUAGGUUCUAGACACUACUUCUUGGUUAUGCUCCUGAGCCAUGCAUGCAUUUUAAUCACAAAUUUGCAACCCAUAGAUGAUCGAAACAUAUUGCUAAUGUCAGUUCACCCCCCAAAUUCAUUUAAUAUACUGGAACAUCUUGUGAGACGAGAUGACUGAAGAACAUUGAAUACAUUUUUUUUUUGGAAAAAUCUCCUAUCUGCUUUAGUUUCUACUCCCUCCGUCCCAAAAUAAGUGACUCAAAAAUGACUCAUUUUGGGACGGAGGGAGUAUAUGUAAGCAUGUUGCUUCAUUUAAUUCGUGAAUCGGCAACUCGAAGUCUUGUGCUCUCUGGAUCGAUGGAAUUAUGUCAGAACCCUACAGUCAACAGCGAUAUGCUGAGACCACCGAGUGCCGUAUUCAACGACUGUAACGCAGUGUGCUGCUACCCAUUAUCUUGCCUUGUUCUUUUCAAGGAUACCAUUGUCUUGCCUUUUGACCAGUUUUCCCUUCAGAUUAGAGUAGUUGGCUCCUUGUAUAGUUCAGUUCUAGUAUUGGCGAAAUAGAACUACUCCUGGCUAAGAAACCUCAUUGCUUUUGCAGGUCUAUAUCAGUUAGAGUUGCGCGUGCGACGACGAAAGCAGUGUGUUUCUCCUUCGCAUCUUCACACGGUUCAGACUGGUGUUCUCUCUCUCUGUUCUCCACCGUUCUCCUCCUGGUACUUUUAUGUCGACUUAAGUGGCAACAGCCUAAUGCAAAGCGGCAGGUGUUGCAUCUGAUGGCCAGUCCACCGAUCCACUGUAUUGUUCCAACCUCGUGCGGCUGCCUAAGGCUGCUGUUCUGUUGAAAUACGUAAAGCGAUAGAUUGUGGCGGUGUUGUGUUCAGCGGAAAACGAUAUGGAACCUUUUACGGUUUAUUUCAGCUUGUGUACAUAAACAAGGGAUGAAAUAAUCAUUCUGCAAGCAAGUUUUCGUAGCUCUAGCAACGUGACUCAUUGUUACUCCCUCGGUCCUUUUUAGUCUGCAUAUAAGUUUUGUCGAAAGUCAAAGGAUCUCUACUUUGACCAAACUUAUAAAAAAAUUUAUCAACAUUCAUCAUGCCAAAUCAAUAUUGUUAGAUUCUUUACGAAAUGUAGUUUCAUAAUGCAUAUAUUUGGUAUUGUAGAUAUUGAUAUUUUUUAAUAUAAAUUUGGUCAAACUUUGUAAAGUUUGACUUGACUGAAAUCUAAAACGCGGAGUAAAAAGGACGGAAGGGAGUACUUGUGACUCUCAUUGUUACUUAUAUGCGAUCUGUAAACCAAACCGCACGGCCGGGACGCGUUUUGUUAUCCAAUGUAACCGAAAACAAAAUGGCGGUUUUGCAGACAUUUGAAUCGUUAUCAUGUACUGUCUAUCAGAGCCCUCCCGACCCCUCACGUAUCGCCCCCGCCUGGCGACGCGUGUGGGGUGGGGGCUAGCACUGCCGUGUCCCUCGCCCCCGCGUGGGCGCCGGGGGGGGNNNNNNNNNNNNNNNNNNNNNNNNNNNNNNNNNNNNNNNNNNNNNNNNNNNNNNNNNNNNNNNNNNNNNNNNNNNNNNNNNNNNNNNNNNNNNNNNNNNNUAACCCUCUUGCCAUGUAUUUUCAAGCGGUCAUUUGUAUUUUUGCGUGUAGGGAUUGUCGCUAGUUUAUUUUUCCGUGUAUAGGUUAUUUUCUCGCAUUUACGUGUGGUGAGAUUAUUGUGUUGCAACCCCACAUGUUUUAUAUGUUUUCGGGGUAGAAAAAUCCAUGGGAUUUUUCUGUGUAUUUAGUUUUAGCUUUUGAGCAAGUUAGUUCACGCGAGAAUUUGCCAUGUUGCCCUCUUGUCUAUUUCGUAGGAUUUAUUCCGUGCUUCGUUUGAUUAAGUUGUCAACUAGGGAGUUGUUCUUGGGUGUUNNNNNNNNNNUCCAUAGCUUUUGAGCAAGUUAGUUCGCGCGAGAUUUUGCCAUGUUGCCCUCUUGUCUAUUUCGUAGGAUUUAUUCUGUGCUUCGUUUGAUUAAGUUGUCAACUAGGGAGUUGUUCUUGGGUGUUUAGACUAGCCCCUGGUAAUUUUGGUUGCAAUAGAAAUGCAUGUUUAUGUGUGGUUUGCUUGAUCUCAAGUUGCUAGAAAUAGUGCUAAUUUGGAGGUGCUGAAAUAUUUCUAAGUCUGGAAUCUGUUAUAUUUUGNNNNNNNNNNCUUUUGGUUGCAAUAGAAAUGCAUGUUUAGGUAUGGUUUUCUUGCUCUCAAGUUGCUAGAAAUAGUGCUGAUUUGGAGGUGCUGAAAUAUUUCUAAGUCUGGAAUCUGUUAUAUUUUGUUGCUAUUUUGUUUUGCUUCUAUCUUGUGAUCUGUAGCUCUUUUGAGGUUGGUGCAAUGGAGUUAGUUGUAGACUUUGUGUUUAUNNNNNNNNNNUCUGUUUUGUUUUGCUUUUAUCUUGUGAUCUGUAUCUCUUUUGAGGUUGGUGCAAUGGAGUUAGUUGUAGACUUUGUGUUUAUCUAGCAUGCUGUGAAUUUUCAUGCCAUUUGGACUCCUGUAGCUAUUGGUUUUGCUUCUGUCAAUAUGGCUUCAGAUCGAAAUCUGCACUUUCAUGAAGUGUAAUUUUCACUAAGUCUGAAAUAGUGUGUGAGAUACCAUUUGGUGACUUCUUUCCCUAGUGAUCCAUCAUGCGAUGCUAGUUGUUGUUAGUUGUUUGUUGUAGUGCUUCUUGCCCUCUUUCGUGUCAUGCCUUGGUUGAUUAUAUUUGAGUUGUGUAGCUCGUAGUUGUGGGGUGUAGAAAGNNNNNNNNNNGAUGCCAUGCUAGUUGUUGUUAGCUGUUUGUUGUAGUGCUUCUUGCCCUCUUUCGUUUCAUGCCUUUGUUGAUUAUAUUUGAGUUGUGUAGCUCGUAGUUGUGGGGUGUAGAAAGUGCUAUGUGGCUGAUUUUGGCAGAUUGUAGUGAUUUCUUGUUUUGCUCGUAGUUGUUGAACCGUAGCUCCGUCUUGAUCGUCUCCUAGAUGAAACUUGCUUAGAAUCUCGUGUAGUUUAAUUUUCUCUUGCUGGUUGUAUGUUUUGAAGUACUCGUGACCAUCGAUGCACACAUAUUGCAUUCAUGCCAUCAUAUCUUGCGGUGCUUGUAUCUUUUGAACCGUAGCUCCGUUGGAGAUGUUCUCUAUGUGUAAAUUGCUUGUAACGACGCGUAGAUUUGCGUGAACCUAUUUGUUUUGAUGUUUAACAAAUAAUUAUAUGUGCUAGAUCAGAUCUGGACAGAAUUGUAAAUUAACAUGUGAGGUCGUCUCGGAGGNNNNNNNNNNNNNNNNNNNNNNNNNNNNNNNNNNNNNNNNNNNNNNNNNNNNNNNNNNNNNNNNNNNNNNNNNNNNNNNNNNNNNNNNNNNNNNNNNNNNGAUCGGGGUUGUUAUGGGGACCCCCUUGAUAAUUCGUUUUAGAUUAAAGCUGGUCUCGCAAGGCCCAAUAUUGGUACUACAUUUGCCCAACAUAAUAAUUCUGUUAAAAUGAAAUGCAUAGGGAGUUAGUGCUACCCGAGGAGUAAUUCCAAAACAGAGCACUGUGCGGGGCCAACCCAGGGCAAAUUGGGUGAUUUCUAUCAGGCCUCCGUACGCGUAGCUUAUCCGUCGUGUCCUGAGAACAUGAUACGCGGCUCCUAUCGGGAUCGUCGACACGCCGGGUGGCCUUGCUGGAUUAGUUUUACCUUUGACGAGAUAUCUUGUGCAUCGGGAUUCCGGUGAUGCUUUGGGUAAUCUCAGAGUUGAGGUUUUCCACUAAGGAGUCCGACGAGAUCGCGAGUUUCGUGAUUGAGGAUUUCUAUGCGGCUUGUGGUAAUUUGUGAUGGACUAGUUGGAGCACCCCUGCAGGGUUAAAUCUUUCGGAAAGCCGUGCCCGCGGUUACGUGGCAACNNNNNNNNNNNNNNNNNNNNNNNNNNNNNNNNNNNNNNNNNNNNNNNNNNNNNNNNNNNNNNNNNNNNNNNNNNNNNNNNNNNNNNNNNNNNNNNNNNNNUUGGACGCGCUCUCCUCCUCCACCCAGGAGAUACCGGCCUCCAGCGCCUCCGCCACCUUCUUGAAGAAGGCGUGGUAGCCCCCAUCGCUCCUCAUGUUUGGUAGCGCCGGGGCCUCCCCCGCAAACCGGCGCAUCGCAUCAGCCGCCCGGCCACCGAUGCUCGCGAACUGCUUGGCACGCUGGGAAGCCAUGAUCCGGGCGAACGACGCCUCGUCCUUGGCAGCCAAGAUGGCGUUGGUCGCCUUCUCGACCUGCUUCUGCAGCGACGUCAUCUCGGCCUUGGCCUCCGCUUCGCCCUAACAGGCGGCCUCAACAGUCUCGAGCUGAGCCCGCAGCCCCUCCACCUCCUCCUGAAGCUCGCCUAGCCUAAGCCUCUUAGCCAAGGGCGCUCUGGAGUAAAGGAAAGAUCUACCGACAAGCAGCACAUGGGACGAAAAGGAGAUGAGACGCAGACGAGGGACUUACUCGUCGCUCAGGGCCCAACGAUGACGGACGCCUAACGACUAGGAGGGCCCUCUGCCGCUGUGACAGCCCGAGACCGACGUUCCAGAAGAUUCCCCCUUUAUUUCGUUUNNNNNNNNNNNNNNNNNNNNNNNNNNNNNNNNNNNNNNNNNNNNNNNNNNNNNNNNNNNNNNNNNNNNNNNNNNNNNNNNNNNNNNNNNNNNNNNNNNNNUCUAGCACAUAUAAUUAUUUGUUAAACAUCAAAACAAAUAGGUUCACGCAAAUCUACGCGUCGUUACAAGCAAUUUACACAUAGAGAACAUCUCCAACGGAGCUACGGUUCAAAAGAUACAAGCACCGCAAGAUAUGAUGGCAUGAAUGCAAUAUGUGUGCAUCGAUGGUCACGAGUACUUCAAAACAUACAACCAGCAAGAGAAAAUUAAACUACACGAGAUUCUAAGCAAGUUUCAUCUAGGAGACGAUCAAGACGGAGCUACGGUUCAACAACUACGAGCAAAACAAGAAAUCACUACAANNNNNNNNNNAAAGGCAUGAAACGAAAGAGGGCAAGAAGCACUACAACAAACAGCUAACAACAACUAGCAUGGCAUCAUGGAUCACUAGGGAAAGAAGUCACCAAAUGGUAUCUCACACACUAUUNNNNNNNNNNUCUGCCAAAAUCAGCCACAUAGCACUUUCUACACCCCACAACUACGAGCUACACAACUCAAAUAUAAUCAACCAAGGCAUGACACGAAAGAGGGCAAGAAGCACUACAACAAACAACUAACAACAACUAGCAUCGCAUGAUGGAUCACUAGGGAAAGAAGUCACCAAAUGGUAUCUCACACACUAUUUCAGACUUAGUGAAAAUUACACUUCAUGAAAGUGCAGAUUUCGAUCUGAAGCCAUAUUGACAGAAGCAAAACCAAUAGCUACAGGAGUCCAAAUGGCAUGAAAAUUCACAGCAUGCUAGAUAAACACAAAGUCUACAACUAACUCCAUUGCACCAACCUCAAAAGAGCUACAGAUCACAAGAUAGAAGCAAAACAAAAUAGCAACAAAAUAUAACAGAUUCCAGACUUAGAAAUAUUUCAGCACCUCCAAAUCAGCACUAUUUCUAGCAACUUGAGAGCAAGAAAACCAUACCUAAACAUGCAUUUCUAUUGCAACCAAAAGUACCAGGGGCUAGUCUAAACACCCAAGAACAACUCCCUAGUUGACAACUUAAUCAAACGAAGCACAGAAUAAAUCCUACGAAAUAGACAAGAGGGCAACAUGGCAAAAUCUCGCGCGAACUAACUUGCUCAAAAGCUAUGGAAUUUUUCUACCCCGAAAACAUAUAAAACAUGUGGGGUUGCAACACAAUNNNNNNNNNNGGAAUAAAUCCUACGAAAUAGACAAGAGGGCAACAUGGCAAAUUCUCGCGUGAACUAACUUGCUCAAAAGCUAAAACUAAAUACACAGAAAAAUCCCNNNNNNNNNNNNNNNNNNNNNNNNNNNNNNNNNNNNNNNNNNNNNNNNNNNNNNNNNNNNNNNNNNNNNNNNNNNNNNNNNNNNNNNNNNNNNNNNNNNNUAACUCUCCUACACUACAAGAGGAUCUCGCCCCGAGAUCCAAGAAUGAAAGGGGGAGAGGAUGAGAAAGCAAGAGGUAAAACUUAGUCGCUUCUUUGACAAACGAGUGAAACCAACGAUCCUUGAAGGUUGCAAGGAGAUGAGGAAUGAUAUGAGAAAGAAGCAAGAAUUCACGGAAAAUUUCGGCAGCACUUCGGUAGGAAAAUGGGACAAUAAAUUCGAUAAGAAGGAAGAAUUAGACAAUAUUCAUAACAAACAACUAAAUAGAACAAGGGAACACCAUGAUCUUGAUAGAACAACAAGAUUGACCCAAAAGAGCAAUAUCACAAUGCCUCCGAAACAAUAGAAUAGGAAUUAGAUCAUAUGAAAGAAGAGAAUGAAGAAAAGAAUGACAACUACUAUGUCAAAUGAACUUGGCAAGCAUCCUUGCGAGAAUAAUUGAACGAAAUUGUCUGAAAAACAACAACGAAAAGAACAAAAUAGCAGUGGGCUUAUGGAAAACUUUUCAAAUUAAUGAAGUGACAACCAGCCACUAACAGAAACAAGGAUAGAUUGGGAGAAACAAGAUAUGAACAAUUCUUACACCAAGAGGAUACAUUGAGAACUUGGAUUAAUGACAAGCACCAUGAUAGCAACAAUCCAUAGGAAAAUCUUUAGGUGAAAUCCAAACCAAGAUAGCUGAAUGAAGAAAUCAUGGGUUGAAAAUAUCUCAUGAUCAUAGAAUUGGUGGGUUUAAUUAUCUCAUUCUUGAAAGGAGAACUCUUUGAGACUCCUACACUAACAAGGAUGCUAUAAUACCACCUCAAAGGAUAAAGGAAGAACAAUUGCACAUAGAAAUGCAAGAGAAAGGAUACUUGAGGUUCUCCAACAAGAAUCUUGAAGAACACUUGAGAAUGAAUUGAAACCUUGAUGAACAACCAUGAAGGACCUCCGUAUACAAAUGAAUGAUGCCACGAUAUGAAGGUAGAAAACAAUAAGAUUAUGACCUUGCCAAGAUUUAGAUGAAGUCUCACAAAGACAUACCGGUAGACUUGGAACUUUGGAAAAGAAAGAUAAGCACCUGAGAAAAGAAUUGAUAUCAUGAGCCACUCCGGAAGAAGAAUUCAGAUUACUAUGAACAAGAAUAAGAAUUAUGUUAUGCUCAUCCUUCAUCAAGUUUAAUUGAUGACAAGCAACGGAUUAGCAUACAACUUAUUCUUCUUGAAAGAAACUUGAAUAGAGAGAUAGGUAAGCACCACUUGAAGCAUAAUUGAAGGAAGCACCGCUAAGAAUUCACAAUUGAAUGGAAACACCACGAAUUAAUGGAGAUACAUGAGAAUGAAGAGAUCACGAGCCACCUAAGAGAAACUAGAACAAGGCACCAGAAUAAAUGAGAGACGAACGAAGAGACAACAAUUGAGAAGAAUUAGAGAACGAAUUCUUCUGAAAUGAUGGCCUUCGGAGGAACGAGAAAUAAAAACAACUCAGAAAUGCAUCGGAUAGCAAGAAAGGGAUACUCAUGAUUGGAACAAUUAAGAUGAUGGCACCAAGCUGAAAUGAGGACUCUCCAAGAGAAAGAACAAAGAAUUGAGAGAAACACUCAUUCGGUCUUCAAAGCUGAAAUGAUGAGGAGAACACCACCAAGAAUAACUGAGACACUCCAGAAUAAAGAAGAAUGAAAGGUUGAGCCAAAUAUGAGAUUUAAUUCAAAUAGGCCUUGGAGGAGGGAUAUGACUGAUGAAAUUCAUACUUACGUCAUAGUUGAAAAGAAUUAAUGAUCUCCGGGAAAAAUUAGAAGAGCCAGGAAAGAUUCUCGGAAAGAACCUGUGGGUUAUGGGCCCACUCAAAGAAACCACCAUUGAAAAUAUUGAAAGAAAGAUUGAAUGCACCGGUACAAAUGAAAAACUAGAUGAGGUUAGCACCUCGAAAUAACUGAAGGAUUGAAAACCAGAAUUUCUGAGAUAACUUCAGCACUCCGGAUAGACUAGAGAGAAAUGAAUAACAAGAUAGGCUGAUAAGAAUCUCCAACAUAGGAUGGAAUUACAAGGACGAAAAGGAUAUGAUGAACACGGACAACUAAAUAAAAUUCACCGGUACGGAUGACAAGAAUGAGCAAAUAUACCACGAAUCUCCUGAGAAUCUUCACAAUGAAUCACCAGAUAAAAGAGAAAAGAAGAGAUAGCGGAAGCUAUAAAGAAAUGAAAUGCACUUGGAUGAAAUUAAAACACUGAAAAAAGGGCGGGAGGGCGGGGAAAAAACAAAGACAACUUGGGACAGAUGAGAUGAACUCCGGAAUAAAAUGAGAGAAUGAUCUUGCAAAAUUGCAGAGGAAUGAGUUCACUUGGAGAGAAACACACCGGUUGGAAAAGAAUUAACAACUCCGGUUGACAAAAUUGAUAAGACAAUUGAUUGAGCAAAAGGAUUAGCACUCUCAUAGAAAUAUGAUAACCGCUCUUGGAAAGAUAUGAAAUCACCAACUGACAUCGAAGCAACUCGAAUUACCAUAUUCCAACCAAACAAAGGGUGAGGUUUAUGAAACAAGCCAGAACAAACUCAUGAGAAAGAUUUCGUCCGAUAUUUUCGUGGACACGGAUCGCACAGGCUCGAACCUUACAGUAGCCAUCAAGUGCAAGGCAGUGCACCCGACAUACGAAGCGCCCCCCGAGUCGUAACAAGCUACAAGGACUCUUGAAGACACAACGUGUACUGCUGUAAGUCAACCGUCAACAAACGAAUACUCUAGAUGUCGAACCCCAACCUAACAUCAUGCAUUUGUUGGAAGAUUGUCCUAUAAGCAACUAUUUGAAUUCCCACCUAUGAAUUCCUGAAAUAUCUGGUCAUGCAAUCUGGUACACGGAUACAAGGAGUAAUAUCACACAACUCCUAUACUAACCCAUCACCUGUAUCACAUCCGUCAACACACAACCAGAAUCUCGGACCUUCAUCUACAACAGACCCUCGUGAUCACAACGAUACAAAGUACGGCAGUACUCCUAAACAAUCUACACCAAUACUGGGGACAUCGGGGUUAUCUCGCCACUACUAGUAUUGAAGCAAUUACGAACAUCCUUCGUUCUGAGAUACUAAGAAAUCUGAAUGAUAACGAUGUGCUCAAGAAUCCCUUGGAGCUCAACUCCCCGGAAGAAAAUCAAGUCAGACAGGAGGCACCAAGAUAGAACUCCGUCACAUCGGCAUCAUAUAGAUUCCAAAAAUAUCCGCGUGAUCCUAAUUUUUUUUGAGUGAGAAGAGGAGUAGAAUUAAAAUAUUAUGUCAAAAUUCCUCACCAGAGCAUAGAAGAGGAGAAAAAAAUAAUCCUACUCUUCGAUAUAUAACUGGACUCAAAGUAGUUUUUCACUAGACUCGACUCGGCCAAGUUCGAUCAAUCAAGGGUGCUCCUAGGUCGGUACUGCUCUGAUACCAACUUGUCAUGCCCAAGAUGCGACCCUAUCCUCAAUUUGGCACGAAGGCCUCAUCAAGGAUAGAAGCGCAUCCUGUCGUGUUGCAAGAAUGGACAUCGUUACAAGUACAUGUACUAAAAAGAUGAGAUAUAUAUAGAAUUGGCUUACACUCGCCACAAGCUACAUCAGAGUCACAUUAGUACAUUACAUAAUCAUCAAGAGUAAGAGGAGGGUCCGACUACGGACGAAAAUAAACGAGAAAAUAAGAACGACGUCCAUCCUUGCUAUCCCAGGCUGCCGGCCUGGAACCCAUCCUAGAUCGAUGAAGAAGAAGAAGAAGCAACUCCAAAUGAACAAUCAAUGCGCUCGCCUCAAGUAACCUUUACCUGUACCUGCAACUGGUGUUGUAGUAAUCUGUGAGCCACAAGGGACUCAGCAAUCUCAUUUCCAAAGGUAUCAAGACUAGCAAAGCUUANNNNNNNNNNNNNNNNNNNNNNNNNNNNNNNNNNNNNNNNNNNNNNNNNNNNNNNNNNNNNNNNNNNNNNNNNNNNNNNNNNNNNNNNNNNNNNNNNNNNGAUCUUGUAUUACGGAACGAGUAAAGAGACUUGCCGGUAAACGAGAUUGAAAUAGGUAUGCGGAUACUGACGAUCGAAUCUCGGGAAAGUAACAUACCGAAGGACAAAGGGAAUGACAUACGGGAUUAUAUGAAUCCUUGGCACCGAGGUUCAAACGAUAAGAUCUUCGUAGAAUAUGUAGGAUCCAAUAUCGGCAUCCAGGUCCCGCUAUUGGAUAUUGACCGAGGAGUCUCUCGGGUCAUGUCUACAUAGUUCUCGAACCGCAGGGAAUGUACACUUAAGGUUCGACGUUAUUUUAUGCGUAUUUGAGUUAUAUGGUUGGUUACCGAAUGUUGUUCGGAGUCCCGGAUGAGAUCACGGACGUCACGAGGGUUUCCGGAAUGGUCCGGAAACAAAGAUUGAUAUGUAGGAUGACCUCAUUUGAUUACCGGAAGUUUUUCGGAGUUAUCGGGAAUGUACCGGGAAUGACGAAUGGGUUCCGGAAGUUCACCGGGGGNNNNNNNNNNNNNNNNNNNNNNNNNNNNNNNNNNNNNNNNNNNNNNNNNNNNNNNNNNNNNNNNNNNNNNNNNNNNNNNNNNNNNNNNNNNNNNNNNNNNNNNNNNNNNNNNNNNNNNNNNNNNNNNNNNNNNNNNNNNNNNNNNNNNNNNNNNNNNGUGGUGCACCAGCCCUUAGUGGGCUGGUGGAACAGCCUAAAAGAGCCCUAUGCGCAUUGGAAGAAAAAUCAAAGAGAAAAGGAAAAAAGGAGGAGGUGGGAAAGGAAAGAAGGACUCCACCCACCAAACCAAGUAGGACUCGGUUUGGGGGGGGGGGGGNNNNNNNNNNGUGGCGCACCAGCCCUUAGUGGGCUGGUGGGACAGCCCAAAAGAGCCCUAUGCGCAUUGGAAGAAAAAUCAAAGAGAUAAGGAAAAAAAAGGAGGAGGUGGGAAAGGAAAGAAGGACUCCACCCACCAAACCUAGUAGGACUCGGUUUGGGGAGGGGGGAGACCUUCCCCCUUGGCUCGGCCGAGCCCCUUGGGGCUCCUUGAGCCCCAAGGCAAGGCCCCCCUCUCCCACCUAUAUAUACGGAGGUUUUAGGGCUGAUUUGAGACGACUUUUCCACGGCAGCCCGACCACAUACCUCCACGGUUUUUCCUCUANNNNNNNNNNNNNNNNNNNNNNNNNNNNNNNNNNNNNNNNNNNNNNNNNNNNNNNNNNNNNNNNNNNNNNNNNNNNNNNNNNNNNNNNNNNNNNNNNNNNCCGACUCAGAUGUGGUGGGUUUAACCACAAGCAAUGGGUCGGGAGAAUUCUUCAUCCCCUCAAGUAAUUCUUUAAGCAUGGACUUGACUUCGGCCUUCAUGGACGUCUUUAGUGAGGCCAUAGCCUCAUUCAAGUCGUCCCGUCUAAUCGAACUCAACUCCAUGACCUCGGGCACUUCGUGCCCAACCUCACCGUCGUCAACCAUACUCUUCAGGUGGUGAAACCCUUAAUAAAGAGACAUGGCUCUACUACCAAUUGAAAGGAUCGAUAUGGUUGACUAGAGGGGGGUGGUGAAUAGGCAACUACCAAUUUUUAGCUCUUCUUAACAAACUAGGGUUAGCAACAAAAGGUUCUCUAGAUGAACAACUAGGUGAGCAAGCUAUAUGAUGCUAACAACAAAGACAACAAGUGCAAGCAAGGAAUACACCACAACAAUAAUAAGUACAAAGUAAAGGUAAGAGAUAACCGCAAGUGGAACCAAUGGAGAUGAGGAUGUGUUACUCUAGUUCCUUCCCUUUGGCAGGAAGUACGUCUCCGUUGGAGCGGUGUUGAGGCACAAUGCUCCCAAGAUGCCACUAAGGCCACCGUAUUCUCCUCACACCCUCACACAAUGCGAGAUGUCAUGAUUCCACUAUUGGUUCCCUUGAAGGCGGCGUCUGUACCUUUACAAAAAAGGUUGGGGCAAUCUCCACACAAAGCUUGGAGGCUCCCAACAAGACCACGAAGCUUCAUCACAAUGUAAUGUGGCUCCAAGGUGACCUCAACUAUCCAGGGUGCUCAAACACCCAAGAGUAACAAGAUCCGCAAGGGAUUAGUGGGGGAAUCAAAUAUCUCUUGGUGGAAGUGUAGAUCAGGGCCUUCUCAACCAAUCCCUAGGAAAAUCAACAAGUUUGAUUGGCUAGGGAGAGAGAUCGGGCGGAAAUGAGCUUUGGAGCAACAAUGGAGCUUGGGGAGGUAAGAGGUAAGCUUCCAGAGGAAGAAUACCCCUUUAUAUAGUGGGAGAACAAUCCAACCGUUACCCCACUCACAUCACGAGCAAAGCAGUACUACCGCUGCUAGGAGCGGUCCUACCGCACGGUAGUUUACCAACCACGGUAGUAAAAAAUUACUACCGUGCCUACCACUGCCGAGGAAAAAGGAUGCGCAAAAAGUCCACCGGAGCGGUAGUGAAAAACUAGUACCGCCCACAAAGUGGUAGUAAAAAACUACUACCGUCCAGAGAGCGGUACUACCACCGUGUGUGCGGUACUACCGCUGGCUCAAGCGGUACUACUGUUGGCCCUUUUUCACAUACAUGGAAAAACAUGUUGGAGCUCCAUUGAAGCAAGGGAAAGGUGGUGCAAUAGAAAUGUGUACGUGUUGAUUCCACCCAAACCUUUCAAAGCGGACCCCCUCUUAAUAGUACGGCUUUCCUACGACUCAAAUCCACCAAAGAGAAACGUAAAAAGCAACCGUAUUUGAAAGACUCCGAGGGGCACCGUAUCGUCUUGUGCCUAGUCAUGAAUUAUGUGAAAUGCUCAAUGCACACGAUUAGUCUGCACAGACAUUGUCAUCAAUUACCAAAACCACUUAGGGAGAAAUAUGCCCCAACAGUUACAAAGGUAGGUUUUGGACUUGUCCAGACCCAUGUUGCGAGACUUGGUCGAGUAAGAUUGGAUUUGCCUCUCUGAUUAGGAGAGAUAUACUUUGGGCCCCUCGGGUGAUUUGACGUGGACAAGCAUGGCCAUGCGGUGAGGAUUAUGAGAUAAUACGAAUGUUGGCCGGAUUCACCGGAAUGAGAAAGAGGUCGUGCUGGAACAAGGAUGACCAUGUUGCCUUGUGCAUGACAACAUAUAUCAUGUGGCAAAGGGAACAUAAGUAUUAAGUAUGGGUUCGCCUAACAAGCCUCGUCUGACACUUGGAGUCGGCACGCUUUGCUAGAGGCCGAUAUCGACUAGCCGAGUCGGAUGUGAUCUAACUCACGACCAAGUGAACGAGAACCUAAGGGGUCUCACACUUAAGGGAAGGAACACAUGGGCUUUAGGAUCCGUGCGAGGCCCAAGAGUUGAGCCCGCGCAGCAUGCCUAUAUAUAGUGGAGGUGCAGCACACUUCAUAAUUUGAUUGCUUCGGCACCGUCAUUAGGGCUUUGCAUGUGUUGAAACUAGCCACCUCCACUCGCCGCCGUCGACUGUGUGAUUUGGACCUAGCAGUCCGCCGCACAGCGUUCCUCCUACACGCGCGGAUAUUGUUAGAGGCGGUGCACUUGCGCCGCUCCGACGAAACUGUACGUGGGAUCCGACGAUGGACUGUUUGAGGGAGAGGAUCCGACGACCAACUAUUCGAGGGAGAUUGGACGAGGAGGAGAUGGACCACGCAGAGGCGCUGCCACAACUCUACUUCCGCUGCACGACACUAUGCAUCUAGUGGUAACGAUGUGUGAUCCAUCUCCAUAGCAUGUUCUUGGAUGUUCUACGCGUAUGAAAUUUUUAAUUUGAGUGCUACGCACCUACGGUAGAACCCAACAAUGGAAUCAGAGCCUCUGCUAGUGGUUUUGGUUUCAGAUUUGAUGCAUAUUUGAUAUGUGGAGGUGGCGGAUGAGAUCCGUCGUCAUUCUUGAGAUCGACUAUGUGCACAGUUGAUGAGAUCAACUGCACAUCAGGAUCGUUGAGGCCAUGUUUUGUGUCAAUCGAAAUCGAUGAGGUCGUGACACAACCUACUCCUACCGGUCGAUUUCCGCCAUCAGGGUUAACAAUGAAACGUAAAUCUGAAUUGGGUUCACUAUGAUCGAUUAGAUCGAUAAGAUCAGAAUAUUCGGCGUAAUCAGAGUAGAGAUUCGACCUGUGAUUUCCGAAAAUGUCGCCCCUUCGAACCCCGGCCGCUAACGGGCUAGCUGGACCGCCGUGUGCGUAGCGCCAUGUAGUUCAUACACGAUCACACAAACUGGUAGAAUGUGGUCCUAUGCAUAACUUUGUUUUGCAGGGUUGAAGUGAAUAGUACGACUCAUAUGUAUGUGAUGUAUGUGUGUAAUUUAACAUGACCUGCGCGUCAUGAUUGUGAGCUGGCAGGAGCCAAAGUGCUGUCAUUAUAUUGAUAACGACCUACGUGUAAACUUGUGAUGCUUUAUAAAUUCAUUACUAGUUGUAGUAGUUGGAGGAUAGAGAUCAAGUUUGAGGCUUUGGUGUAUCGGCGUGACGAACAAGAUUGAGUUCCUUCCUAGGCAUCAGAGUUGGAUCCAGAUUAUGGGGAUAUGUACCUCGGGUAGGGUCAUAGGCCUAACCUAAGUGUGCUACCUAAGGGUACGUCAUUAUUAGCUGGAGGGUCACGAAGAAGAUUCUGACUGGAUGGCCAUGGCAUCUAAAAAGUCACUUGGUAAGAAGUCACUCGGAAGAUAUUCCCCUUCAAUCGACAACCAACUUCCACUCAGAAGAUACUAGUCGACACAGAAGACCAGAAGCCACCUCCAAGGAGGCCAACGGGCGAGCGCUCAGCUGAUGGUCAGGAAUAGCAUUAAUUACAUACAUACGUUAUCAGUAACGUAGAACUUUAAACACAAUUGAUCGAACCCUUAGAUGUUGGAGCCUUGAUGAGGGGUAGUGCACUCUAUAUAAGCCACCCCUCCCCUCUGGCACAAGGUUUCGCACCCCGUGUAACACAUAUUCCAGACCGCAAGUGCUCCCGAGCACUGAGACGUAGGGCCGUUACCUCUACGAGAGGGGCCUGAACUCAUAUAUCUUGCGUACAACCUUGCCGUAGCUAUGAGUCUGCCCUCUCCAUUCGUACCCUACACCUCUACUGUUAGGUUCAUUCCCACGACAUUUGGCGCACACCAUGGGGCAGGCGUCUAAGCGACUUCCGGCAAGUUUGCAAUCUUCACUCUCUGUCAUGUCUUCCGGUUGCGAUUCGUUCAUGGGUGGCGAGAUCCGUUUCGGCGCGCUCAUCUUCGUCGCCGAUGACUCGGAACGGCUUUAGGAGGCGCCUCUUGACAUCAAGGCGCUCCCGAUUCAUGGAGCAAUGCACUUCCGUGCAAGCUCCUUCGGCGUACUCCUUCGACAGCCAUCGACUCCGCUGUCGACCGUUCACUCCGCUGUUCGUCGUCACAAGCGAUCCGGUCGCUCACGACUCCAUCAAUGGGUGAAGCACAUAGUGGCUCGCCAGGCGUCAUCUCUGUCGACUCCGCAGGUUGCUGCCAUUGAGCCUGCUGAACCUGUUCGGGACCCGAUCCACUCGGCGUCAGAUCAGUCUGAUGUUUCUUUCGAGUGCGAGAGGUGCAAUCCAGCAGCGGAGGUCUUCAUGGCGGGUUGUGCAGAGAGCCCACCCGGGUUCGGUCGUGGCGAACACAAGGUCGACGAACCGUUGACUAGACACGGCCGUCCUCGUCCUCCGACUUCCAGUCGGUGUCAGCGACAACUCUUCUCGAGUAGUCGACAUGAUAACAUUGAGGUAUAUCGUACUCCGGUACUUAACGUUGCAUCCACAUCUAAGACAACUGAUUCUAUCCAACCAUGAGAUUCAGAGGCUGGUAGAGGCUUAGAUCAGAUUCGAACUACCGAGUGGUUGUGCAUAUUGGCGGAGGCAACGACAACGUCACCAUGAAGCAUUUGUCUCUCAUGUUCGAUGGUUUGGCCAGAACGUGUCUGAAUUAGUUGGCUGCUUCUAGCAUCUACUACUAGGAGGAUCUCACCUGAGUGUUCAUCGAGACAUUUGAAGGCACAUGCAAGCGUCCAGCCGGUGUGUCCGAGUUGCAGCUUUGUGUGCAGAAGUCAAAUGAGUCUUUGAGGGAGUACAUUCAGCGGUGGACCACCCUUCAUCACAGGAUGGAAAAUGUUUCUCAGCACCAGGAAGUUUGUUCCUUCAAAGCUGGCGUUAGAUACAGAGAGUUGUACUUGAAGUUCGGUCGUACAGGCGACAUGUCCAUGAGUAAGAUGAUGGAGAUUGCUGCCCGAUACACCAGCGGUGAAGAAGAAGACCGGAUCCGCAACGGUAAAGGGAAAGCGGUCGACAAUGAUGCCGACGGCAAUUCCAAUCAGAAGAAGAAGCGCAAGGCUGAUGUUUCCACUCCAGCAGAAGCAGCCGCCCUGGCGGCACAAUGAAAAUACAAGGGAAAGUCCAAAGGACAAUUUCCCCCCAAGAAGUCCUAGGGUCAAUCGGAUGUUCUGGAUCAGCCGUGUGUGCUUCACACGAAGAAAGACGAUGAUGGCAACGUGAUAUUGCCUAAGCACAUCACUCGUCAGUGCAGACUGUUGAUCCAACAGUUUAAAGAGGAUCAGUCAAGUGAAAAAGAUCUUGAAAAGGAUAACGACCAAGAGAAAGAUGAUUUCCCAAAGGUUCAAGCAACCGUGAUGAUUUUUGCUGAUGUUGAGAGCAGGAGUCGAUUGAAAGCCAUCAACAGAGAAGUCGAUAUGGCUAUGCCCUCCACUCCCACAUACCUCAAGUGGUCGAAGACGCCCAUAACAUUUGAUCAGUNNNNNNNNNNNNNNNNNNNNNNNNNNNNNNNNNNNNNNNNNNNNNNNNNNNNNNNNNNNNNNNNNNNNNNNNNNNNNNNNNNNNNNNNNNNNNNNNNNNNUUGGCAAACUAUACUUUUCCACAACUACCCUUGAUAUGAAUGAAUGCGUUGCACCAGAAUCAAAAAGUACCAAUACUGGAUGUGAAUUUAGCAAAAACUUACCAACCACAGUAUUGGGGUGAUCAUAGACCUCUUCCACAUCAAUGUGGUUCACCUGAGCUCGAGGAAAAGGAUUGGGCUUGUUUGCUGCAGAGUUGCCGUUGCCGUUUCCAUUUCCCUGCUUGUUUUGGGGACAAUCAGUGGCAUAGUGUCCCUUCUUCUGACACUUGAAGCAAGUGAUGUGAGUCAGAUAGCUGAAUUCUGCUGAGUGCCAGUACCGCCAUUCUUGAAGUUGCUGUUGUUGCGGUGGUUACCAUUUCCUCCAUGGUUGUGGCCUCCAUGGUUGUGCACAGGGUGGUUAUGCUGAACGUGUCCUCCAAACUUACCGGAUCCAGUCCCAGUAUUCCCUAGAUAAGGGGUGUAGCGAGGCUUCUGCUGAGUGCCGGAGUUGAACUUUCCAACCCCAUACUUUCGCUUGCGGUUCUCCAUCUGCGGAUGUUUCCCCUCCAAGAUGAGGGCCUUAUCAACCAGCUCCUGAUAGUUGUUGAAGAUGGCUACCGUCAACUGAAUGCUCAGCUCAUCAUUCAGUCCUUCCAAGAACUUCUCCUGCUUGGCCGCAUCAUCAGCCACAUCUCCAGGUGCAUAACGGGCGAGCAUGCUGAAAUCAUCAACGUACUGGGCCACAGUGCGAUUCCCCUGGCGUAAGUUGCGAAACUCACGCUUCUUCAGACUCAUUGCACCAGCUGAGACAUGUGCGGUGCGGAAGGCUUGCUUGAAUUGCUCCCAAGUGACUCCAGCAAUGGGAUAAGUGGUGGUGUAGUUCUCCCACCAAGCAGCUGCAGGGCCUUCAAGUUGAUGCGCGGCAAAAUGCACCUUCUCAGCUUCAGAACAACCAACGGUGAUGAGCUCACGCUCCAUCUUGCGAAGCCAAUCAUCUGCCACAAUGGGCUCAAUGCUGCUGGAGAAAGUUGGAGGGUUCAACCUCAGAAAACGGGUGAGAUUGUCAGCUUGGGGUGGAUGAUGGUUGUUGUUGUUCUGGUUCUGGAUGAUCAGCUGCAUCAGGGUGUUUUGUUGCUGGAUCAACUGGGUGAGUUCCGGCGGAAAGUUGGACUCAGGGGCGCGUCUCGGAGGCAUCUGAUGUUUGUAGAGGGUUGAGAUUAGCAUAGAAAAAUGGUCUAAGAGGAAUUACACUACCCAUAUGAAUGCAACACACAAAUAUCACACCACACAUUUAUUCAAUCAUCACAAAGGUUCACACGAGGAUACAAAAUUCGAUAAUCCUAAACAUCGGCCUAAAACGUAAAACGAUAAAGUAAAUUUGGUGGUCUAGUCUAAGUGUCCUCCUCAGAAUAGCAUGGUGUCGGGUCCUUCGGUGGAGCUUUCUUCAUAGUCCUCGUCGUUGCUGAUCACGGGGGCUACGUCUCCUUCGGGAUNNNNNNNNNNNNNNNNNNNNNNNNNNNNNNNNNNNNNNNNNNNNNNNNNNNNNNNNNNNNNNNNNNNNNNNNNNNNNNNNNNNNNNNNNNNNNNNNNNNNCUAUAGAAGGAUCGUAUGCUAUAUCGUUGCACAUCCCGGUACACUACCGGAGGCAUUUCAUAUGGAGUCACCAUCAUUGUGAUCUUUGUGCUUUGAGUAAAUAAAAAGUGUGAUGAUCAUCAUUAUUAGAGCAUUGUCCCAUGUGAGGAAAUAAAAAAAAUAGGCCAAAGAGCCCCAAAAAAGAGAAAAGAAAAAAAGAGGCCUAAGAGCCCAAAUAAAAAAAUGAGAGAAAAAUAUAGAAGGGACAAUGCUACUAUCUUUUUCCACACUUGUGCUUCAUGUUAGCACCAUGUUCUUCAUGAUUGAGAGCUUCUUGCUUUGUCACUACCAUAUGCUAGUGGGAAUCUUCAUUUUAUAACUUGGCUUGUAUAUUCCAAUGAUGGGCUUCCUCAAAAUUGCCCUAGUUUUCCUCUUGAGCUUUCACAUACUUAUAGCUCUAGUGCAUCUCUUGUAUGGCAAUCCCUACUCAUUCACAUUGAUAUCUAUUAAUGGGCAUCUCCAUAGCCUAUUGAUACGCCGAGUCGAUGUGAUCAUCUCCUCCUUUUUGUCUCACAACCACCACCACACUCUAUUCCACCUAUAGUGCUAUAUCCAUGGCUCGCGCUCAUGCAUUGCGUGAUAGUUAUAAAAAGUUUGAGAAAGUAAGAGUGCGAAAACAAUUACUUGGCCAAUUUCGGGGUUGUGCAUGAUUUACAUUAGUUGUGUGAGGAUGAGGGAGCAUAGCCAGACUAUAUGAUUUUGUAGGGAAAACUUUCUUUGGCCUUGUUAGUUUGAAAGUUCAUGAUUACUUUGCUAGUUUGCUUGAAGUAUUACUAUUUUCAUGUCAAUAGAAAACUAUUGUUUUGAAUCUUACGGAUCUGAACAUUGAUGUCACGUGAAAGAAGUUGCAAAGGACAACUAUGCUAGGUAGCAUUCCACAUCAAAAAUUCUUUCUUUAUCACUUCCCUACUCGAGGACGAGCAGGAGUUAAGCUUGGGGAAGUUUGAUACGUCUCCAACAUAUCUAUAAUUUUUGAUGGUUUCAUGCUAUUAUCUUGUCAAACUUUGGAUGUUUUGCAUGCUUUUUAUUUAUUUUCUGGGACUAAGUUAUUAACUCAGUGUCAAGUGCCAGUUCCUGUUUUUUUUCCAUGUUUUUGACCCCUUUCAGAGGAGAUUUUGAAACAGAGUCCAAACGGAAGAAAAUCCCUGAAAAGAUUUUUUUGGAACGGAAGAAGGUCGGAGAACUUGGGAGCCAAACCAGAGGAGCGCUAGGGGCCCCACAAGCCCCCACCCCACGGCCAGGGGGGCGUGCCAUCCAGGCUAGUGGGCCCCCUGGAGGUCCUCCGACCUAUGUCUUGCACCUAUAUAUUCCCAUUAAUUCUAGAAAAAAUCAGGAGAUCAUCACAGUCGCUUUUCCGCUGCCGCAAGCUUCUGUCUGUGCAAUAUCCCAUCUGGAGCACGUCCUGGUGCCCUACCGGAGGGGGGAUUCAGAAACGGAGGGCUUCUCCAUCAACACGAUGACCUCUCCAAUGAUGCGUGAGUAGUUCACCAUAGACCUACGGGUCCAUAUCUGGUAACUAGAUGGCCCCUUCUCUCUCUUGGAUCUUCAAUACAAAGUUCUCCAUGAUCUUCAUGGAGAUCUAUCCGAUGUAAUCUUCUUUUGCGGUGUGUUUUUUGAGAUCCGAUGAAUUGUGGAUUUAUGACCAGAUUAUCUAUGAAUCUUGUUUGAGUUUCUUCUGAUCUCUCUUAUGCAUGAUUUCAUAUCCUUGUAAUUCUCUUCGAGUUGUGGGUUUUGUCUGGCCAACUAGAUCUAUGAUUCCUGCAAUGGGAGAAGUGCUUGGUUUUGGGUUCAUACCGCGCGGUGACCUCACCCAGUGACAGAAGGGGUAGCAAGGCACGCAUCGUGUUGUUGCCAUCAAGGGUAAAAAGAUGGGGUUUUCAUCAUUGGUUUGAGAUUAUCCCUUUACAUCAUGUCAUCUUGCUUAAAGCGUUACUCUGUUCGUCAUGAACUCAAUACACUAGAUGCAUGCUGGAUAGUGGUCGAUGUGUGGAGUAAUAGUAGUAGACGCAGAAAGUAUCGGUCUACUUGUCUCGGACGUGAUGCCUAUAUGCAUGAUCAUUGCCUUAGAUAUCGCCAUGACUUUGCGUGGUUCUAUCGAUUGCUCGACAGUAAUUUUAUCACCCACCGUAAUACUUGCUAUUUUGAGAGAAGCCUCUAGUGAAAACUAUGGCCCCGAGGGUCUACUCCACACCAUAUUUUCAGCCUUACAGUUUUUAUUUUGUUGCACUUUCUGCAUUCGGAUCUCACUUUGCAAACAAUCUUGAAGGGAUUGACAACCCCUUGGAAGCGUUGGGUACAAGAAGGUACUCUGGACUUGACGAGGCCCUCCUUCUGGAUCGAUACCUUGGUUCUCAAACUGAGGGAUAUACUUACUGCUCCUGUGCUGCAUCACCCUUUCCUCUUCAAGAGAAGAACCGACGCAAGCGCAACCUCUCUCAACGU
Molecule: long non-coding RNA, 28086 nt
Filed under: Hordeum vulgare
Lineage: Eukaryota; Viridiplantae; Streptophyta; Magnoliopsida; Poales; Poaceae
Description: long non-coding RNA (HVUL_LNC004324)
Source: RNAcentral